This 277-nucleotide long non-coding RNA is filed under the name Urocitellus parryii (Arctic ground squirrel). RNAcentral describes it as "lncRNA (ENSUPAG00010002575.1)". The record is from RNAcentral. Lineage: Eukaryota; Metazoa; Chordata; Mammalia; Rodentia; Sciuridae.
CGCAGCUCUAGGCUGCCCUYGCUCGCGCAGCCGCAGUUCCGCCGGCACUGCGGGGCGUAGAGAGCGUCGCUUAACUGCUGCGGGAUGCUUCUCAGCACUUUUCUGCACCUAGGUGCAUUCCCUUCGGUCGCUCCGAAUGAGUCCACUGUGUACAGAGGCAUCAUGGGAGUUGUCAUUGUCAGGAACAUUCUACACUCCAGGAAUCUUGAGGUGUUCAUUAUUCAUUGUUAAGAAUGUGUCUGGUUGCAAGUAAUAGAAAACUCCAGAAACAGAAAAC